RNAcentral lists this ribosomal RNA (328 nucleotides) under uncultured eukaryote. RNAcentral describes it as "partial 18S ribosomal RNA". It matches the Rfam family "Eukaryotic small subunit ribosomal RNA", at positions 1470 to 1796 of the family's 1831-position model. The record is from RNAcentral.
CCCUUAGAUGUCCGGGGCUGCACGCGCGCUACACUGAAGGAAUCAGCGUGCUAAAACCAUUGUCGAAAGGCAUUGGUAAACCCAUUAAAAUCCUACGUGAUCGGGAUCGGGAAUUGCAAUUAUUUCCCUUGAACGAGGAAUUCCCAGUAAGUGUGGGUCAUAAGCUCGCGUUGAUUACGUCCCUGCCCUUUGUACACACCGCCCGUCGCUGCCCGGGACUGAGCCGUUUCGAGAAAAGCGGGGACUGCUGCUGUCGGGGCUUUCGGGCCUUGGCUUCGGUGGAAACCGCUUUAAUCGCAGUGGCUUGAACCGGGCAAAAGUCGUAACA